GAGUUUGAUCUUGGCUCAGGACGAACGCUGGCGGUGUGCUUAAUACAUGCAAGUCGAACGAUGAGGCCCUUCGGGGUACGAUCAGUGGCGGACGGCUGAGUAACACGUAGGUAACGUACCCUUUACUGGGGAUAACACCGGGAAACCGGUGCUAAUACCGCAUAAGCCAAUGGUUGAAAUACUGUUGGUUAAAGAAUUUCGGUAAAGGAUCGGCCUGCGUCUGAUUAGCUAGUUGGUAGGGUAAGAGCCUACCAAGGCAAUGAUCAGUAGUUGGUCUGAGAGGAUGACCAGCCAGAGUGGGACUGAGACACGGCCCACACUUCUACGGAAGGCAGCAGUAGGGAAUUUUGCGCAAUGGGCGAAAGCCUGACGCAGCAACACCGCGUGCGGGAUGACGGCCUCGGUUGUAACGCUGUCAGCAGGAUAUAAUAGACUGUACCUGCAGAGG
RNAcentral lists this ribosomal RNA (448 nucleotides) under uncultured delta proteobacterium. Its description in RNAcentral is "bacterial SSU rRNA". It matches the Rfam family "Bacterial small subunit ribosomal RNA", at positions 9 to 487 of the family's 1533-position model. Lineage: Bacteria; Deltaproteobacteria. The record is from RNAcentral.